RNAcentral lists this ribosomal RNA (2570 nucleotides) under Triticum aestivum (bread wheat). RNAcentral's name for it is "partial small subunit ribosomal RNA". The record is from RNAcentral. Lineage: Eukaryota; Viridiplantae; Streptophyta; Magnoliopsida; Poales; Poaceae.
CUACCGGCGGCCUCCCCUUCCCUCUUCCUCUUCCUCAACCUCAUCUCCUCUCUGCUGUCCACCCCGACAAGAAUUGAAGAAGUGAAGGCCGCCCUACGCCGUGCAACGGGGAUAUAGCCACCCGCGCACACGGGAAACUGCCGCUCGGCGUCUCCAGCAAUCAAGCAGCCGCUCGGCCGUCAGCGAGCGAUUGAUGUGCCGGCGGGCGGGCGGCAGCGUUGUUGUUGUUGCUUUUGGAUUGCGUCGGUCGCUGACGGGCAGUCUAUCUUGUGGGUUGCAGGAGGGGAGGAGGGGGACGAGGACGGUGCAUGUGCGGAACAUCUCAGAUCUGGCCGGGGAGCGGGAGGUGCGGGAGUUCUUGUCCUUCUCCGGUGAAAUCGAGCACGUCGACAUCAGCCCAUGAGCUGACGCGGUGGCGACUGGGAGGACGGCCUACGCCACCUUCAAGGACGUCAAGGCCCUGGAGAUAACGCUGCUGCUCUCGGUAUGUAUGGCCUCGCGCAAUCAUCCAACUUACUUUCAUUUGUGCAGUGGAGGUGUUUAUGCAAUCUGGUUGUGCUUGUGUUUUCAAUUGCUAUCUAUAAUGAAUGAUUUUCUGUGCUGUCAAUGUCAUUGUUGAACUGUGAAUAGCGUAGUAGGUAUACACAGCUGUUAUGGCUUAUGCAUUGGACCUAAUUUUUUUCUUCGAUAUCAAUGUUGAAGUGUAUUUCGCUAGAAGAUAAUUAGGAAGACACUUUUGUUUGUUAUCUCUGAUAUUUGCACUUGGGGUGGAUGUGGAAAUUCGGCCUCCGUGCGGCGGCGUCUCUUCCUUCCCUGUCAUCGUCGAGGUCCGCCCCUCCGUGCCGCAACGGUAAGCACGCAUGCACGCCGCCGCUCCCCUGCCUCUCUCCCCGUCCCUCUCCGGUGGUUCCCUUCGUCGGCGGCGGCGGGGAAUCAGCCCAGCGGACUGGAGUACCCGUUUGGUGGCGAGCGCCGAUCGAUUGAUUGAUCGAUCAAGCCCCUGAUGUUGUGCUCGCUCCGCUCUGUCUGCUGUCCCUCAUCUAGCGCUUACUAGUUCUGUUCAAGCUCUGUUCGGUGUUAUUUUAUUACUGUAUUGGGAGGGAUAUAGUGCACUGCCACCCAGUAAAUUACGAGGAAACCCAUAUAAAUCAUUUUUCCCAGUCAUAGUUAUUUUUUUACAUAGUGCGUUGAUCCUAGAGUUGCUGAUGCGUAGGCGAAAUUCCUGUGGAUGGCACAAUUAUUUACACUAGCCACAUCUUGCUGGCUAUGGCAUCAGUCUCAUCUCCUGAAGGAUGCAUGAGGCUCUCUCAUGCUGAAGGACAUGAUGCAUGCCAUGUACCGAUGUAUACUGUUGGAAUUAAGUUGUACUUAAUCUAUAUAUGAUCAAGUAGUAUUCCUAAUCCUAUUUAGUUAGGUUCUUGAGCUGCUAUCCGGUAAGAAAAAAGGCAGUGCGCGUUACCAGCCGGCGAAUCGAUCUAGCUGAUUGUGUAGCUAGCUAGCUUCCGAAAGGGUAAGGUAUGUAGUACACGUCCAAGAUGAUAUACGAAAGAAGAUAUGUUUCUGCCAUGUAUCUCCGGGUCGCCUCUGUAUCUUGAGAUUGGAAACAUAAUUUUUUUCCUUAAUGGCAUAGGUGUGUUAUUUUUUUUUUGAACACAGCAUAGGUUUGUUAUAUAUUAUAUGGAUGUUGUACCUGUAUCUUCAGAUCAGAAACAAAACGUUUUCUUUUUCAUAAUGGCAUAGGUGGGUUAUUUAUAUCAACUUUAAUGCCAAAGAGAUAUUGUCAAAAUCUAAUGGGUAUUGUUUUACCGUGUGUUAAAUUGAUGGCCAGCUGUUUCUAAUUAUUGUUUGAUUUUCUAGGAUAAUUCUCUAAUUUGACCCGUAUUUUCUUUUUAGUAUAUAAUAGAAUAGGUUUUGCAAAGCAAUGUUUACUUUCAGUGUAACUGUAGUGCCAUUCUUAUCUUUCAAUGUACAACGACGGUCUUGCUGCACUUGUGGUAGUCAGUGGGGAGAAAGCUAGGAACCUUGGCCUCCAAGUUCUUGCAAGGAUCAGAGGGUAUGCUGAUGUUGCUCAGGCACCUCGGCUAUUUAUAGGAGGGGACCUAGCCUUCUUUGCGUCUCGCGGCAGUGUCUUCCUUGGAUUUGUUCGUGCAACAAGGAGGGGACCCGACCUUCAUCAUGCCUCUUGUAACAAGGGUGAUCGAGGCGGAUUACCAUGCCCUGGUGGGUGUCGUGCUCUUCAACCACUUGGAAGCGGACUUCGCCGUGAAGCCUGACGACUGCUGCACAUAGAUGAUCAUCCAGGUGAUCGUGACGUCGGAGGUCACCGAGGUGGAGGUCCUCGAUGCCACCGUCCAGGGGAAGGUCCACCGGCGUCUGAACUCCAAGCUUUGGUAGAUACAUCUAUAGAAGUGGUCUGUUUAGGUUGGUGGUGGAACUCUAGGGAAGGUACCCACCUUUUGAUGAUGGUUGUGCUCGUCUGAUGUUAAAUGGGAUGUUUGUGAUUUCUUCCAGUUGAGAUGUUGUUCUGUGACAUGAGUUUAUUUUGCACUGGACGUGUUUCUGAUUUCUAU